UCCAUGCGUUCUGCGGGCGGCUUUCCUAACCACUAUACCGUCCGUAAUUAGAGUAGAAGUGUUUAAAUAAUGUAAAUAAUGUCUGUAGAACACUAUAGGGAACCAAUAUUUUUCUUUAGAAGUUUUGAACCCAAAGGUAAAAGAUGACCAGAAUGUCCAAAGGGAUGAUGACUUGGAGACAUUACUGAAAACUCUAUACGUGGUGAAAUCAACCUUUCAGUCCUUUUCGUUGUGUCCUACAUGUUUGAGAAAUAGCGUUCAGUCUUCAGGAAAGCUGACGGGAUUCUUAAGCGAGAGAAAUUUAAGCAACCUCGAAGAUAAGCUGAAAAAUGCCAUAGACGCCAUUCAUUUUCAUCAAAGAGCUCAAGCUUUAAUGAAACUGAAGAGGCCUGGCAUGUUAGAGAAAUCUACACAAGUAAAUUUUGCAGAAGAUGGGUUUAAAGAUGACAGUUAUGAGUUUUAUACAAGAAGCAUUAUAGAUAGUGAAAAGCCAUGCAUUGUUGGAGAUUGUACAAAUCAAACUAUGGAGCUUCAAGAAAUACCUAAAUUACAAAAUGAAGCAACAGGAAAAUGCGCCGCUGUGACCCAAGGGAAUGUUCUGAGCAUUCAAAUAGAAUUCGACAGAUAUCUAAGGCUAUUGUAAAAUAGAAAAAUGAAGUUAAACUAAUAGAUAUAUAAAUUAAAUCUUAAGUAUAAUUUCUUUCUUUCUGCGAAUAGUGUAAAAUAGAAAAACUCAGUUUUAUUGCGCAAAUCCUGUAACUCAUAAAAUAAUCAUUUAAUCGUUUUUGUGCCAUUUGGUAAAGAGUUUGUUAUAUUUCCCUUUUUUGCUUCAUGUACUUACUGAAAAAAUUGCUUUUGAGGAGAAACACUACAAAAAGGAGCCAUCUAAACAGAUCAAAUGGGGUAAAAUUAAUUAAAUAUGCCUGUUUUUAACUGUUUAAAAGUAAGCCUAUCUGCCUUGAAUAUAUAUUAUAUUCUUUUAGAACUUGAAAAUAAAUUAUUUUAUUAUAACUAUUUUAAAAAAUAAGCUGCGUUUCUAACAAGGAUAUUUUACCAGAAAAAUGAAUAUCAUCCUAUAUUUGGGCCAACAAGAUAAUUGGAUUCAGACUCACACGAAUAUUCGAUUUCAGAUUACUUAGUUGAUUUGAUUAAUUUUGAGACUUUGUUUUACUUGGUUUUAUAAAUCACAGAAAUAAGCUCUUUAACUGGUUUUCUUAGAAAAAAAAUCUCGCAGUUUUCUUGAUUUAAAUACACGUCGCGCCUCUUCGCACAACAUAACUUUUACAAAUGUGUGCCUUUUAUAUGUACUUGAACAACAAAAUAAAUAACAAUGUUCUUUUAAACAGUAAUAUUUGAAUCUUGUGCUUUAAUUAUCUGUUAUUUUUCAUUCCAUUCUCGAAA
This is a long non-coding RNA of Stegodyphus dumicola, 1401 nucleotides long. Lineage: Eukaryota; Metazoa; Arthropoda; Arachnida; Araneae; Eresidae. The record is from RefSeq and is a predicted model, not a curated record.